RNAcentral lists this ribosomal RNA (360 nucleotides) under Triticum aestivum (bread wheat). RNAcentral describes it as "partial small subunit ribosomal RNA". Lineage: Eukaryota; Viridiplantae; Streptophyta; Magnoliopsida; Poales; Poaceae. The record is from RNAcentral.
AUGGCAUCCAACCAGGACCAGGCGAGCUACCGCGCCGGCAAGGCCAAGGGACACACCCAGCACAAGGCCAGCGAGGCCACGGACAAGGCGUCCCAGACGGCGCAGGAGGCCAAGGACAAGGCUGCCGGGACGGCGCAGACAGCCAAGGACAAGGCCUCCGAGACCGCGCAGGCCGCCAAGGACCGCACCGUGGAGAGCAAGGACCAGACCGUACUGUGUGAUGGCGCAUUGACGGACCGAGAGGGGAAGGGGAUCGAGGGCGAGGGCGAGGGAGAGAGAGGGGAUAGGUUUGGGCCGGGGAUGAAAUAUGGAUGGGGGCGGCACAAUACUAAUGGCGCAUCACCCCUCGGUGCGCCAUAA